CUGAAAUAUGUAGGACGGUAGCUCUCCAGGAGCAGGGUUGGAGACCCCUGCCCUAUGGUUUCGUGGACUUAACGGACACGCGGACGCCGCGGCCAUUCUCUCCACAGGUGAUCUUGAGCUCCAUGUGAUCCAGAACUGAUGGGCUUUUGUCAGCCUCGAUGCUAAGGGCUUUUCUGGUCUGCCUAAAGAAGCUUUACAACUCAUCAUAACUGUGAUAACCAGCAGAGUGGCUCUCUGCUGGCCUGGAAGUUGUGAGGCAAGAUUCUGGAUGGGUCCUUUGGAUGAGAUAUAUGGAGUCUGCACAGAGAAUGAUACAGAGCCUGCAGCAGGUUGAAUAUUUGGAAGUAAAAAACAAACUGAGGGGACAAAUAGAACUCCAACAGCUAAUGAAGAAGAAAGUUGCACUAGAAAUGGUGGCUGCACAAGGAACUUCAGAUGCACUGCCUGGAGGUCAUCAAGCUGCACUUCCACCACGGGGUCCUCUCCUUUCUAAUGUUGGCAAUGUUGUGUAAUACAGCACAUGCGACAAUGAUGCAUGCCCUGUCAGAGAUGGAAGCAGCUGUCCCAUUAUUCCUAAUCAUACUCCCACAACUUUAUUUCCUGCACCAGCUGGCUUUGAGCUUUAUUCCGGGCAUCGGUGAAGAUGAAGUACUGAGUUGUAUGGUUGUCUGCUCUGCCAAUGACAAACUCCAGCAUCUCCCUAUCACCCUGAAGAAUGAUACGUGUGUCUUUGUCUUCAGGAUCUUCUCUAGGGGCAGCGUUUUGCCCAAGAAAAUUCUCUGGCGUGGAGGGUGUGCAGGGGCUGAUGAGUGCUGUACAUGAGGUGCAGGUCUCCACAGGUGAUCUUGAGCUCCAUGUGAUCCAGAACUGAUGGAUUAUUUUCAGCCUUCGCUGCUCAGGACUUUUUUAGCCUGCUCAAAGCAGCUUUCCAACUCAUCAUGACAGUGAUGUCCAGCAAAGUGGCUAUCUGCCAGGCUGGAGGUUGUGAGUCGAGAUUCCAGAUGGGUCCUUUGGAGGAGCUGUGGCCCCUUUGAGCCCAGAUGUACCAUGUAGGACAGGGCAGGUGUUCUGGUGGUGAUACGCACCAGGUGGCGCUCUCCUUCCAGUGUUAGAGAGAUGUCACACCGCUUGGAUGCAGGAAAGGCCUCCAGGGCUCGGAUUGAAAAGUCAAGAUUGGUUUUCAGGUGCGAGUUCAGCAAUCCUUCCUGACGGAUUUUCCAUUUCACAGAGAGAAGGCAGUCCAGAUCAAGAGAGGGUAGAGUGAAAUAUCUCCUUUUGGGAAGAAAUAAACAAAUGAGCAUUGAUUGUAUGGAAAAUAUAUGGUAACCUUAGAAAGAAUAAAUAAGUUUGGACAAACUUUUUUUUGUCCUAAAUUUUAAUGAUUUUAAUAAUGAACUUUCUCAUAUCAAAUUAUUUUUCAUUUUGUAACAGUAAAUCUCAAAGAGAUAACAUACAUACAGGAUUCAGAGUUACUUCACAAGAAGCCUGUUUAGCGAAACAAAACAUAUUGGCCCAGUUAACAACCAGAAAUACAGGUGAUCUGGGUUAAAAUGCAAAACAUCAACAAAAACUCUACUGGAUCGCAUGAUAGACAU
Cyprinus carpio carpio is the source of this 1595-nucleotide long non-coding RNA. The record is from Ensembl. NCBI's taxonomy places the organism in Eukaryota, Metazoa, Chordata, Actinopteri, Cypriniformes, Cyprinidae.